Molecule: unclassified non-coding RNA, 544 nt
Filed under: Hevea brasiliensis (rubber tree)
Lineage: Eukaryota; Viridiplantae; Streptophyta; Magnoliopsida; Malpighiales; Euphorbiaceae
Source: RNAcentral
GGGGGAGUAGAUUAUGUUUUGCUACUAGAACAUUUUGGCUGGAACAAGCAACAAUCAAAUAGACUAAAGCUAAGAUGUUUACAGUCUCAAAACGUCUGCAUAUCCUAAUAAAAGCCCAUCAAUGCUCAUCUAAGAUUCUAAAAGAUGAGAGGAAUAGGUCUGCAGAACAUUUCGAUGCAAUAAAAAAAUAUAAUAAAAAGAAAAAAAAUGAGGAGUUCGGAAGAAUUAAAUCAAUGACAUGAAUGUUAGUCGCGUUCUGCCAUGCAUGCAAGAAUUGCAUUGUAGCAGAGGCACCAAUACUCUUUGCCAGGGAUAACCAUCCAUGGCAUUGUUGAAGGCAGGCCAGUCCCCAAGGUGGAUGCAGUUCUUUUACCGGUAAGAGCUCCAUAAGCUGAUGUGGUGGCAAAACCAGAAACCCCAGAGAAAACCUUCUUGUAGUGAGGCAAGACUACUUGUCCUAUGCUCAAGAAGUUACUGUGGAGUAUUGAGACCAGAAUACCAGAACUCUCUUCUCCUUCAUCCUUUUGCCGUGAAUUUUCAGAUG